Ostrea edulis (European flat oyster) is the source of this 476-nucleotide long non-coding RNA. RefSeq lists it as uncharacterized. The record is from RefSeq and is a predicted model, not a curated record. NCBI's taxonomy places the organism in Eukaryota, Metazoa, Mollusca, Bivalvia, Ostreida, Ostreidae. The transcript is spliced from 3 exons.
UUUUUUCAAUGUUCCUUUCUGGGCGCGAAGUCAGGGAAAUAUUCGCAAGGAUGGAGAACAUUCAACAGAAUCAGUAUGCAAUCAAGCAUGGAAUGGAUUCCAGAUAGGAAUAUAGGAUUCACCUUACACUCAGAAACUGGGGGAUAGGCCUAGUUGUUCAAAAUACACGGCGUUGCUGCAUGGACUUGAAGAGAUAGUUAUGAAUUUAGAAUAUCAUCAAGUGACUUAAAAUUAAUAAGGCACUGUUUUCAGUGGAUGAACCGACAUCAUGCAGUGUGACAGGAAAACGCCCGUGAGAUCAAAGAUGGCUUAGAUAAAAGGGAAGACGAUGCAGAAGCCUCUGUACCAGAGAAAAAUCCAGAGAUGGCCCUCAAAGAAGUUAGAAACAAGAUGAGAGACCGUCUCAAGUUGUUUAGGUCUGGAGCCACCUUCCCCCACCCACGAGUCGAAGAAAUAGAUCUUUGAACCAGGUUACC